UAAUAUGAAGCGAUAUAAUUGCAGUUAGUUUCGACCUAACCAUCAGGUUUUUACCCAUAUUUU
RNAcentral lists this transfer RNA (63 nucleotides) under Lasioderma serricorne (cigarette beetle). Its description in RNAcentral is "tRNA-Arg". The record is from RNAcentral. Lineage: Eukaryota; Metazoa; Arthropoda; Insecta; Coleoptera; Ptinidae.